This 395-nucleotide ribosomal RNA is filed under the name bacterium enrichment culture clone ALO1_GLFRUDD03HFTP0. Its description in RNAcentral is "bacterial SSU rRNA". It matches the Rfam family "Bacterial small subunit ribosomal RNA", at positions 9 to 407 of the family's 1533-position model. The record is from RNAcentral.
GAGUUUGAUCGUGGCUCAGAUUGAACGCUGGCGGCAUGCCUUACACAUGCAAGUCGAACGGCAGCACGGGAGCUUGCUCCUGGUGGCGAGUGGCGAACGGGUGAGUAAUGCAUCGGAACGUAUCCUGGAGUGGGGGAUAACGUAGCGAAAGUUACGCUAAUACCGCAUAUUCUGUGAGCAGGAAAGCGGGGGACCUUCGGGCCUCGCGCUCUUGGAGCGGCCGAUGUCGGAUUAGCUAGUUGGUGAGGUAAAGGCUCACCAAGGCGACGAUCCGUAGCAGGUCUGAGAGGAUGAUCUGCCACACUGGAAUUGAGACACGGUCCAGACUCCUACGGGAGGCAGCAGUGGGAAUUUGGACAAUGGGGCAACCCUGAUCCAGCCAUGCCGCGUGAGUG